Molecule: ribosomal RNA, 688 nt
Filed under: Salmonella enterica subsp. enterica serovar Dublin
Lineage: Bacteria; Pseudomonadati; Pseudomonadota; Gammaproteobacteria; Enterobacterales; Enterobacteriaceae
Description: partial 23S ribosomal RNA
Rfam family: Bacterial large subunit ribosomal RNA
Source: RNAcentral
CGUAUCACUUAAAGCGAUUCAGCGGGUUACGAUUGACGGAGCGAAGCGACGUCAAAGCGUAUACAAAGUCGAGUCGGUUUAAGGAUACGUUCGUUGGGUAGGGGAGCGUUCUGUAAGCCUGUGAAGGUGGCCUGUGAGGGUUGCUGGAGGUAUCAGAAGUGCGAAUGCUGACAUAAGUAACGAUAAAGCGGGUGAAAAGCCCGCUCGCCGGAAGACCAAGGGUUCCUGUCCAACGUUAAUCGGGGCAGGGUGAGUCGACCCCUAAGGCGAGGCCGAAAGGCGUAGUCGAUGGGAAACGGGUUAAUAUUCCCGUACUUGGUGUUACUGCGAAGGGGGGACGGAGAAGGCUAUGUUGGCCGGGCGACGGUUGUCCCGGUUUAAGCGUGUAGGUGUGUGUUCCAGGUAAAUCCGGUUCACUUUAACACUGAGGCGUGAUGACGAGGCACUACGGUGCUGAAGUAACAAAUGCCCUGCUUCCAGGAAAAGCCUCUAAGCAUCAGGUAACAUCAAAUCGUACCCCAAACCGACACAGGUGGUCAGGUAGAGAAUACCAAGGCGCUUGAGAGAACUCGGGUGAAGGAACUAGGCAAAAUGGUGCCGUAACUUCGGGAGAAGGCACGCUGACACGUAGGUGAAGUGAUUUACUCAUGGAGCUGAAGUCAGUCGAAGAUACCAGCUGGCUGCAACU